GGGUUGUGAGGUUAAGCGACUAAGCGUACACGGUGGAUGCCCUGGCAGUCAGAGGCGAUGAAGGACGUGCUAAUCUGCGAAAAGCGUCGGUAAGGUGAUAUGAACCGUUACAGCCGGCGAUGUCCGAAUGGGGAAACCCAGUGCAAUUCGUUGCACUAUCGUUAACUGAAUACAUAGGUUAACGAGGCGAACCGGGGGAACUGAAACAUCUAAGUACCCCGAGGAAAAGAAAUCAACCGAGAUUCCCCCAGUAGCGGCGAGCGAACGGGGAGCAGCCCAGAGUCUGAAUCAGCUUGUGUGUUAGUGGAACGGUCUGGAAAGUCCGACGGUACAGGGUGAUAGUCCCGUACACCAAAAUGCACAGGCUGUGAACUCGAAGAGUAGGGCGGGACACGUGGUAUCCUGUCUGAAUAUGGGGGGACCAUCCUCCAAGGCUAAAUACUCCUGACUGACCGAUAGUGAACCAGUACCGUGAGGGAAAGGCGAAAAGAACCCCGGCGAGGGGAGUGAAAAAGAACCUGAAACCGUGUACGUACAAGCAGUGGGAGCACCUUCGGGUGUGACUGCGUACCUUUUGUAUAAUGGGUCAGCGACUUAUAUUCUGUAGCAAGGUUAACCGUAUAGGGGAGCCGCAGGGAAACCGAGUCUUAACUGGGCGUUAAGUUGCAGGGUAUAGACCCGAAACCCGGUGAUCUAGCCAUGGGCAGGUUGAAGGUUGGGUAACACUAACUGGAGGACCGAACCGACUAAUGUUGAAAAAUUAGCGGAUGACUUGUGGCUGGGGGUGAAAGGCCAAUCAAACCGGGAGAUAGCUGGUUCUCCCCGAAAGCUAUUUAGGUAGCGCCUCGUGAACUCAUCUUCGGGGGUAGAGCACUGUUUCGGCUAGGGGGUCAUCCCGACUUACCAACCCGAUGCAAACUACGAAUACCGAAGAAUGUUAUCACGGGAGACACACGGCGGGUGCUAACGUCCGUCGUGAAGAGGGAAACAACCCAGACCGCCAGCUAAGGUCCCAAAGUCAUGGUUAAGUGGGAAACGAUGUGGGAAGGCACAGACAGCCAGGAUGUUGGCUUAGAAGCAGCCAUCAUUUAAAGAAAGCGUAAUAGCUCACUGGUCGAGUCGGCCUGCGCGGAAGAUGUAACGGGGCUAAACCAUGCACCGAAGCUGCGGCAGCGACACUAUGUGUUGUUGGGUAGGGGAGCGUUCUGUAAGCCUGCGAAGGUGUGCUGUGAGGCAUGCUGGAGGUAUCAGAAGUGCGAAUGCUGACAUAAGUAACGAUAAAGCGGGUGAAAAGCCCGCUCGCCGGAAGACCAAGGGUUCCUGUCCAACGUUAAUCGGGGCAGGGUGAGUCGACCCCUAAGGCGAGGCCGAAAGGCGUAGUCGAUGGGAAACAGGUUAAUAUUCCUGUACUUGGUGUUACUGCGAAGGGGGGACGGAGAAGGCUAUGUUAGCCGGGCGACGGUUGUCCCGGUUUAAGCAUGUAGGCUGGUUAUCCAGGCAAAUCCGGAUAAUCAAGGCUGAGGUGUGAUGACGAGGCACUACGGUGCUGAAGUAACAAAUGCCCUGCUUCCAGGAAAAGCCUCUAAGCAUCAGGUAACAUCAAAUCGUACCCCAAACCGACACAGGUGGUCAGGUAGAGAAUACCAAGGCGCUUGAGAGAACUCGGGUGAAGGAACUAGGCAAAAUGGUGCCGUAACUUCGGGAGAAGGCACGCUGGUGUGUAGGUGAAGCCCCUGCGGGUGGAGCUGAGACCAGUCGAAGAUACCAGCUGGCUGCAACUGUUUAUUAAAAACACAGCACUGUGCAAACACGAAAGUGGACGUAUACGGUGUGACGCCUGCCCGGUGCCGGAAGGUUAAUUGAUGGGGUUAUCCGUAAGGAGAAGCUCUUGAUCGAAGCCCCGGUAAACGGCGGCCGUAACUAUAACGGUCCUAAGGUAGCGAAAUUCCUUGUCGGGUAAGUUCCGACCUGCACGAAUGGCGUAAUGAUGGCCAGGCUGUCUCCACCCGAGACUCAGUGAAAUUGAACUCGCUGUGAAGAUGCAGUGUACCCGCGGCAAGACGGAAAGACCCCGUGAACCUUUACUAUAGCUUGACACUGAACAUUGAGCCUUGAUGUGUAGGAUAGGUGGGAGGCUUUGAAGCGUGGACGCCAGUCUGCGUGGAGCCAACCUUGAAAUACCACCCUUUAAUGUUUGAUGUUCUAACGUUGGCCCCUGACCGGGGUUGCGGACAGUGUCUGGUGGGUAGUUUGACUGGGGCGGUCUCCUCCCAAAGCGUAACGGAGGAGCACGAAGGUUAGCUAAUCCUGGUCGGACAUCAGGAGGUUAGUGCAAUGGCAUAAGCUAGCUUGACUGCGAGCGUGACGGCGCGAGCAGGUGCGAAAGCAGGUCAUAGUGAUCCGGUGGUUCUGAAUGGAAGGGCCAUCGCUCAACGGAUAAAAGGUACUCCGGGGAUAACAGGCUGAUACCGCCCAAGAGUUCAUAUCGACGGCGGUGUUUGGCACCUCGAUGUCGGCUCAUCACAUCCUGGGGCUGAAGUAGGUCCCAAGGGUAUGGCUGUUCGCCAUUUAAAGUGGUACGCGAGCUGGGUUUAGAACGUCGUGAGACAGUUCGGUCCCUAUCUGCCGUGGGCGCUGGAGAAUUGAGGGGGGCUGCUCCUAGUACGAGAGGACCGGAGUGGACGCAUCACUGGUGUUCGGGUUGUCAUGCCAAUGGCACUGCCCGGUAGCUAAAUGCGGAAGAGAUAAGUGCUGAAAGCAUCUAAGCACGAAACUUGCCCCGAGAUGAGUUCUCCCUGAGACUUUAAGUCUCCUGAAGGAACGUU
RNAcentral lists this ribosomal RNA (2825 nucleotides) under Klebsiella pneumoniae. RNAcentral's name for it is "partial 23S ribosomal RNA". It matches the Rfam family "Bacterial large subunit ribosomal RNA". The record is from RNAcentral. Lineage: Bacteria; Pseudomonadati; Pseudomonadota; Gammaproteobacteria; Enterobacterales; Enterobacteriaceae.